CGAAGAGAAAAAGAACUUCGGUUCUUUUUUCUAGUGGCGGACGGCCGAUUAACGCGUAAGAACCUACCCCUUGGAGAGGGAUAGCCACUGGAAACGGUGAUUAAUACCUCGUAUGCUGAGGAGUGAAAGACCGUAAGGUCGCCAAGGGAUGGGCUUGCGUCUGAUUAGCUAGUUGGGUGGGGUAAAGGCCUCCCAAGGCGAUGAUCAGUAGCUGGUCUGAGAGGACAAUCAGCCACACUGGGACUGAGACACGGCCCAGACUCCUACGGGAGGCAGCAGUGAGGAAUUUUCCGCAAUGGGCGAAAGCCUGACGGAGCAAUGCCGCGUGGAGGAGGAAGGCCUGUGGGUCGUAAACUCCUUUUCUCAGAGAAGAAGUUCUGACGGUAUCUGAGGAAUAAGCAUCGGCUAACUCUGUGCCAGCAGCCGCGGUAAUACAGGGGAUGCAAGCGUUAUCCGGAAUUAUUGGGCGUAAAGCGUCCUGAGGUGGCUUACCCAGUCGACUGUGAAAGCUCAAGGCUUAACCUUGAAACGGCAGUCGAAACUUGUAAGCUUGAGUACGGUAGGGGCAGAGGGAAUUCCCGGAGGAGAGGUGAAAUUCGUAGAUAUCGGGAGGAAGGCCAAAGGCGAAAGCACUCUGCUGGGCCGAUUACUGACACUGACAGACGAAAGCUAGGGGAGCGAAAGGGAUUAGAUACCCCUGUAGUCCUAGCCGUAAACGAUGGAUACUAAGUGUUGCGCGACUCAAAACGUGCAGUGCUGCAGCUAACGCGGUAAGUAUCCCGCCUGGGGAGUAUGCCCCCAGGGUUGAAACUCAAAGGAAUUGACG
This 826-nucleotide ribosomal RNA is filed under the name uncultured cyanobacterium. RNAcentral's name for it is "bacterial SSU rRNA". It matches the Rfam family "Bacterial small subunit ribosomal RNA", at positions 63 to 915 of the family's 1533-position model. Lineage: Bacteria; Bacillati; Cyanobacteriota. The record is from RNAcentral.